Molecule: long non-coding RNA, 1047 nt
Filed under: Monodelphis domestica (gray short-tailed opossum)
Lineage: Eukaryota; Metazoa; Chordata; Mammalia; Didelphimorphia; Didelphidae
Description: lncRNA (ENSMODG00000046714.1)
Source: RNAcentral
CUUCUCAUUUUUUUGUUUUUUUUGGGACUUCUAUCGGUCUCCCCUCUUGGAGGUUUAACAGAAGAUCUCUUGGUGUAAUCUCUGGGGGAGGGUUGUUGGAGGUUUGAGCUUUCCUGUCCUCUGGAGGCUUUUGAUUGGCUUAAAAGUCCAGCAGUCAAUGAGUAUGGAUGGGAAGCCUGGGCUUCCCUGCGUUCUGGAGACUUUUGAUGGGAUUGAGUUCAGCUUAGUUGGGCUGGGUUUACUCUGAGUUUUAAACUUCCUGGAUGGCUGGAAUAAAUAUGGAGGAUCUCCAAAGCUCUGGCCAGGCUGCCAGGUCUAUGCUCCUUCUAGGCUGUCAUCUUGACUUCACCUCUAGGUUUCUGUUUUUUUCAGAAGACCCUGCUCUCUAAGGGGGGAGGGGUCAUGGCUUGCCUGGGCUCUGAGGGCUCCUGAUGGGAUUAGGUUCACUUGGUUUGGGCCAAAUGAGCCCUGAAGCAAAAAACCUCCUCCUCCACAAUCUGUGUUGAAUGCCUGGAGACUGGCCCGGGUUGUCUUCAAGGUAAGUCCUUCACCAGCCCUGAGGUUUUUGUUCUUUCAGAAGCUCUGAGGGCUCCUGAUGGGAUUAGGUUCAAGUGGUGUGGGCCAAAUGAUCCCUGAGCCAAAAAAAGAAAGAAAAAAAAACAACCUCCUCCUCCACAGUCUGUGUUGAAUGCCCGGAGACUGGCCCGAGUUACUUUCAAGGUAAGCUCUUCAGAGCAACCCCUUUGCCAGCCGUGGCUUUUCUGUCCUUUCAGUAGCUCUGAGGGCUCCUGAUGGAAUUGGGUUCAGCUGGUGCCCUAAAGCUGGGACCUCCCUUGAGACUCAGAUGGAAGGACCCAGCCAGGGGGCUACAGGCUUCCCCCUUCUCUCUAUGUUUCCCUGCUGUCUGUGUUGGGUGCUCCGGAGACUUGCUCAGGUUGCUUUCAAGAUAACCAUUUCAUGUAAGAGGGAAUACUUUCAAAAGAAAAAAGAGAAGGAAUAAGUAUAAUAAGCAAAAAUGACCAUCAAUAAAAUCAAUCUAUAUAUCCA